Molecule: ribosomal RNA, 757 nt
Filed under: uncultured archaeon
Lineage: Archaea
Description: bacterial SSU rRNA
Rfam family: Archaeal small subunit ribosomal RNA
Source: RNAcentral
CAGCGAUGUGUGGCAUACGGCUCAGUAACACGUAGUCAACAUGCCCAGGGGACGUGGAUAACCUCGGGAAACUGAGGAUAAACCGCGAUAGGUCAUCACUUCUGGAAUGGGUAAUGACCCAAACCUACAUGGCCCCUGGAUUGGACUGCGGCCGAUCAGGCUGUUGGUGAGGUAAUGGCCCACCAAACCUGUAACCGGUACGGGCUCUGAGAGGAGGAGCCCGGAGAUGGGCACUGAGACAAGGGCCCAGGCCCUAUGGGGCGCAGCAGGCGCGAAACCUCUGCAAUAGGCGAAAGCUUGACAGGGUUACUCUGAGUGAUUUCCGUUAAGGAGAUCUUUUGGCACCUCUAAAAAUGGUGCAGAAUAAGGGGUGGGCAAGUCUGGUGUCAGCCGCCGCGGUAAUACCAGCACCCCGAGUGGUCGGGACGUUUAUUGGGCCUAAAGCAUCCGUAGCCGGUUCUACAAGUCUUCCGUUAAAUCCACCUGCUUAACAGAUGGGCUGCGGAAGAUACUAUAGAGCUAGGAGGCGGGAGAGGCAAGCGGUACUCGAUGGGUAGGGGUAAAAUCCGUUGAUCCAUUGAAGACCACCAGUGGCGAAGGCGGCUUGCCAGAACGCGCUCGACGGUGAGGGAUGAAAGCUGGGGGAGCAAACCGGAUUAGAUACCCGGGUAGUCCCAGCUGUAAACGAUGCAGACUCGGUGAUGAGUUAGCUUAUUGCUAACUCAGUGCCGCAGGGAAGCCGUUAAGUUUGCCGCCU